Molecule: long non-coding RNA, 389 nt
Filed under: Monodelphis domestica (gray short-tailed opossum)
Lineage: Eukaryota; Metazoa; Chordata; Mammalia; Didelphimorphia; Didelphidae
Description: lncRNA (ENSMODG00000047862.1)
Source: RNAcentral
UUUCUUAAUAUUGCUGAUUCUUGUUUAAAACAUCACUGGUUCCUGUCAAGAAACCUAAUUUUUUCAAAGACUUUCAUUUCCAUAAGCUAUUGAGAUAUUGGACUCAAAUUGAUUUAAUAAGAUGCAAGAUCACAGGAGAAGGGACCUUUUCAUUUUCUACAUGGGCAUUCCCAAGCAUCCGUAAGAGUUUUUUAAACAAGGUAAAUAAUUUUUUGAAUAAAGAAAAUGAUUAUCUCUUUUUUUGCCAAUAAUGAAACCAAAGUUUUGAAAACUGAUUUUCCAUAAUCCCAUGUAUUAAAUGCCUAGGAUCAGAACUCAGAUUUUUGGACCCCAGAUCCAAUACUAGAAUAAUAUAACUGAGGUAAUAAAACUAAAAAAAUAUUUUUACA